RNAcentral lists this ribosomal RNA (256 nucleotides) under uncultured bacterium. RNAcentral's name for it is "partial 16S ribosomal RNA". It matches the Rfam family "Bacterial small subunit ribosomal RNA", at positions 524 to 777 of the family's 1533-position model. The record is from RNAcentral.
UACGAGUGCCCCAAGCGUUAUCCGGAAUCAUUUGGGCGUAAAGGGUGUGUAGGUGGUUAUGUUAGUCUUCUGUCAAAUUCUUCGGCUUAACCGGGGUCCUGCAGAGGAAACGGCAUUACUAGAGGAUGUGAGGGGUGUAUGGAACUCAUGGAGUAGGGGUGAAAUCCGUUGAUAUCAUGGGGAACACCAAAAGCGAAAGCAAUACACUGGCGCAAUCCUGACACUGAAACACGAAAGCGUGGGUAAGCGAACGGGG